CACAAUCAUCUUGAACAGUCGCCUUCUUUCUCAGCUUUGUAACAGGUUUGGAUACCUUUUUUUAGCAAACACUUUGGCUUUCAUUAUUUCUCAAACAAAUAAACAUCCCUCUCUUCAUCUCUGUUCACAUCACAAUUUGAAAGAAAACACAACUCAUUUCCCCCACUUCCAGAACUCAAUUCAAAUUUUGAAUCCUACUUCUAUCUCUCUUUUUUCGGACUCUCUCUCUCCCUCUGCUAUUCUUCUUUCUCAAAUUUAAUGACUUACAAACCCAGGGACGACAAAGAUCGAUGAAGCAGAGCACACAUUGAUAUGCAGGUAUCUCAUAAAGGAAUGUUCAAAGGGCUUCUCAAAAAGCAAGGUUCACAAAAUUACGGUUUGAUGUGUAAGUUUUCAGAGAUUAAAUAGGUCAGGACUUUAUAUCCAAUACCAAGUAAUUAGUGCACAUAAUGUGCCAUAUACAAGCAGAAAAGCUCGACACGAGCUUGAUAUUGUACCAGUUCUCCAACUACAAGGAAACUCUAGAGUUUGUGGAAGAUUAGCUAAAGCCUGAGUGCAACUAGGAUAGACACAAUUUCUAUUGUAUAUUCAUGAUAUAUUUAUCUCAA
Long non-coding RNA from Trifolium pratense (red clover), 608 nucleotides. RefSeq lists it as uncharacterized. The transcript has 4 exons. The record is from RefSeq and is a predicted model, not a curated record. NCBI's taxonomy places the organism in Eukaryota, Viridiplantae, Streptophyta, Magnoliopsida, Fabales, Fabaceae.